GGCGAAAGAGGGAGGAGUGCUUAACACAUGCAAGUCGAACGGAAAGGCCCUGCUUUUGUGGGGUGCUCGAGUGGCGAACGGGUGAGUAACACGUGAGUAACCUGCCCUUGACUUUGGGAUAACUUCAGGAAACUGGGGCUAAUACCGGAUAGGAGCUCCUGCUGCAUGGUGGGGGUUGGAAAGUUUCGGCGGUUGGGGAUGGACUCGCGGCUUAUCAGCUUGUUGGUGGGGUAGUGGCUUACCAAGGCUUUGACGGGUAGCCGGCCUGAGAGGGUGACCGGCCACAUUGGGACUGAGAUACGGCCCAGACUCCUACGGGAGGCAGCAGUGGGGAAUAUUGCACAAUGGGCGGAAGCCUGAUGCAGCAACGCCGCGUGCGGGAUGACGGCCUUCGGGUUGUAAACCGCUUUCGCCUGUGACGAAGCGUGAGUGACGGUAAUGGGUAAAGAAGCACCGGCUAACUACGUG
This 468-nucleotide ribosomal RNA is filed under the name uncultured bacterium. RNAcentral describes it as "partial 16S ribosomal RNA". It matches the Rfam family "Bacterial small subunit ribosomal RNA", at positions 28 to 507 of the family's 1533-position model. The record is from RNAcentral.